UACGGGGGGGGCAAGCGUUGUUCGGAAUUACUGGGCGUAAAGGGCUCGUAGGCGGCCAACUAAGUCAGACGUGAAAUCCCCAGGCUCAACCUGGGAACUGCGUCUGAUACUGGAUGGCUUGAAUCCGGGAGAGGGAUGCAGAAUUCCAGGUGUAGCGGUGAAAUGCGUAGAUAUCAGGAGGAACACCGGUGGCGAAGGCGGCUAUCUGGACAGAGUCUGACGCUGAGGCGCGAAAGCUAGGGGAGCAAACAGG
This 253-nucleotide ribosomal RNA is filed under the name uncultured bacterium. RNAcentral describes it as "partial 16S ribosomal RNA". It matches the Rfam family "Bacterial small subunit ribosomal RNA", at positions 524 to 776 of the family's 1533-position model. The record is from RNAcentral.